RNAcentral lists this ribosomal RNA (167 nucleotides) under uncultured bacterium. RNAcentral's name for it is "partial 16S ribosomal RNA". It matches the Rfam family "Bacterial small subunit ribosomal RNA", at positions 349 to 507 of the family's 1533-position model. The record is from RNAcentral.
CAGCAGUGAGGAAUAUUGGACAAUGGGGGCAACCCUGAUCCAGCAAUGCCGCGUGAGUGAAGAAGGCCUGAGGGUUGUAAAGCACUUUUAGUGGUGAGGAGAGUCAUUUGUUUAAGAGAUGAGUGAUGAUGACGUUAGCCAAAGAAAAAGCACCGGCUAACUCCGUG